GCACUGAUGAGGAGUCCCAAAAUAGGACGAAACACUCGUCCAGUAC
Molecule: non-coding RNA, 46 nt
Filed under: Schistosoma haematobium
Lineage: Eukaryota; Metazoa; Platyhelminthes; Trematoda; Strigeidida; Schistosomatidae
Source: RNAcentral